AAGGGGUCAUAGAAUGCAAAACCGAGUUUACUUUGUCAUAGAUGAAUAGUGAUAGUUCAGUGGGUGAAAUGGACAUACAGAGAACUUCAAAACCCCACCGACACCUCCUUCCUGGAGCGAAGAUGAGACAAACACUAGUUUAGCUGCCUGCUCGUUUACUUCCACAGGAAUCCUUGAAGCAGAGAGUUCUUCAAGGAUAUCGAAAAUGAUGCACGGUCGUAAAUGCAGUGUUCCAGGUUGAAACUUAGGCUACAAAGAAAGCUGAGACUUUCCAUAGUCUUCCCAAGGAUUCAAAAGUUCGAGGGGCAUGGAUAAUGUUUUUCUACCAGAAGAAGAUCCCUGCAAAGUUCGACACUCUGUUAUUAAUUUGCAAAACAUUUCACCGAAGGCAGUUUUCAAAACCUUGUACAGUUAAGCAGGAUUUGCUAAGCUGCUGUUACUGAAACGAGGGGCUGUUCCGACCGUAAGGUCAUCACAACCGCAUGCUGUUUUAUCUAGCAGCCAUGCACUUCAAUGAGAAUGCGGAGUCCCCACAACAGAAGACCGCCAAGGAGAAACUAUGUACAAACUUGCCAAAUUUAUCAUCAAAGACCCUCUUCCUUACUGGGAUGCCGUCCAGCGGAUUCCUGUGCCCCAGGACUUGUGUGCUCAGCUAGACAGACCUUCCAUGGAGGAUGCUGUUGCUGAACAUGUAUCAUUUUGUGGUGUUGAUCAAACUGUG
Long non-coding RNA from Alosa sapidissima (American shad), 721 nucleotides. RefSeq lists it as uncharacterized. The record is from RefSeq and is a predicted model, not a curated record. NCBI's taxonomy places the organism in Eukaryota, Metazoa, Chordata, Actinopteri, Clupeiformes, Clupeidae. The transcript has 3 exons.